This 397-nucleotide long non-coding RNA is filed under the name Piliocolobus tephrosceles (Ugandan red Colobus). Its description in RNAcentral is "lncRNA (ENSPTEG00000022493.1)". Lineage: Eukaryota; Metazoa; Chordata; Mammalia; Primates; Cercopithecidae. The record is from RNAcentral.
GGGCAACCGGGUGCCACAGGGCAACCAGGCCCCAAGGUAUGGGAUGGGUGGGCAGUCAAGGCCCCCCAUGCCUCAGGCUCAGCCAGUCCCUCCCAGUUCUUCCCAGUUGAGUUUGUUCUGGGGCCUGAGUCUCAUUCACUCUGUCCUAGGGCGAUGUGGGCCAGGACGGGGCCCCCGGGAUCCCUGGAGAAAAGGGCCUCCCUGGUCUGCAAGGCCCUCCAGGAUUCCCUGGGCCAAAGGGCCCCCCUGUGAGUGAGGUCACCCUCAUUGGGGGUUGGGUGGGUGGAGGAUAUGGGAAGGGAUGAAGCCCUGUAUCUGUGCCCCAACUCUUUCCCACCUCAUCCGCAGGGUCACCAAGGUAAAGAUGGGCGACCAGGGCACCCUGGACAGAGAGGAG